UCGUUGUCACACCUGUGUUUUGAUUACUCUCAGUGUCUUUGUGCCUUCCUCUCUUUGUGAUUUUGAUGCGUCAUUCCUCCAGGGCUUCCCCUCUCCUGUGGCUUCUUCUUGUUUGGAUGUUUUUGAGGUAGAGGAUCCGGGGCGAUCACUAACAUGGACAGCUUGCUGAACACCAGUCCAAAAACAGCCAUGGCCACACCUUUGUGCUGAGUCUGGUCCAGGAAGUUGGCUGGACUGUGAGUUCAUACAAGAACAUUUAAAUUACAAGACAAACCUGUAGUCUACAAUAACAUCCAUCCACAGAAGUCAAAGCUUCACCUGAAGAUACUGGAGGACCCUCGGGUGAAUCCUUGGCAGAAUUUGUUUUUCCUGGCCAGCACUGCCAGGAUCAACAUGGCCACCAGCUGCAGAGAGAGAUGGAAAUAUGACUAUAAUAACUUUUUUAAUCAGUUUCUGUGCCAUGGCCUAACUACUGUUUGUCCAGUUCACACUUUCAGGUAUGAGGACGUGUUGGCUGCUUUCAAGAGGAGCCCUCAUUUAUUUGUGAAUACUAUUCUGUAAAAUUCACCAUCUGGUUCUUGUAUUGGAUCAUACAACAGUCAUAUGUACAAGGCACCUUUUAAAAGGACAGUCUGCAAAGUGCUUUGACAGACACAGCAACAGAAAACACAAAGACAAGCCAAGAAAGAAAACUUCAAAGUCCAGUUAAGAGAAAGUUAAAGCAAGAAGGCACAAGAUGCAAAACACAACACACCAGAGCAGACAGUAAAGCUCAAAACUUUUUUACAGAUGAUACAAAUGGAAGACCGGAUGGAGGAAUGUAUGAGAGAAAGAGAACAAGAACAUUCUUCAGACUACAGUCUUGUUAUUUUUAAUCAGCUGCAGUGACCCAGCUGUCGUAGCCCAUUACUCAUUAUAAAGUGGUAUUUACUAAGAAUUGGGCGAGGGCAAAGUGAUGUCAAACCUCAUUAAACUGAAAGUCUCCCUGAAGCAGAGUUUACCUUCAGACCCUUAGCUAAGAUGAGGAAGAACUUUACAUUAAACUGCUUUUUCAAAGUA
Notolabrus celidotus (New Zealand spotty) is the source of this 1059-nucleotide long non-coding RNA. RefSeq lists it as uncharacterized. The record is from RefSeq and is a predicted model, not a curated record. The transcript is spliced from 3 exons. Lineage: Eukaryota; Metazoa; Chordata; Actinopteri; Labriformes; Labridae.